UCAAUAAGCGGAGGAAAGAACAACAGGGAUUGCCCUAGUAACGGCGAGUGAAGCGGCAACAGCUCAAAUUUGAAAUCUGACCCCUUCGGGGUCCGAGUUGUAAUUUGUAGAGGGUGCUUCGGGCGAGGCGCCGGCCCAAGUUCCUUGGAACAGGACGUCAUAGAGGGUGAGAAUCCCGUAUGCGGCCGGUGACCGAGUUCAGGUGAAGCCCCUUCGACGAGUCGAGUUGUUUGGGAAUGCAGCUCUAAAUGGGUGGUAAAUUUCAUCUAAAGCUAAAUACCGGCCAGAGACCGAUAGCGCACAAGUAGAGUGAUCGAAAGAUGAAAAGCACUUUGGAAAGAGAGUUAAAAAGUACGUGAAAUUGUUGAAAGGGAAGCGCUUGCAACCAGACCUGCUCUCGGGUGAUCAGCCGUCGUUCUCGGCGGUGCACUCGCCCGUCGCAGGCCAGCAUCGGUUCGGGCGGUCGGAUAAAGGCCUUGGGAAUGUAGCUCCCCUCGAGGAGUCUUAUAGCCCGGGGUGCAAUGCGGCCUGCCUGGAUCGAGGACCGCGCUUCGGCUAGGAUGCUGGCGUAAUGGUUGUAAGCGGCCCGUCUUGAAACACGGACCAAGGAGUCUAACAUCUAUGCGAGUGCUUGGGUGUCAAACCCAUGCGCGGAAUGAAAGUGAACGGAGGUGAGAACCCUUCGAGGGCGCAUCAUCGACCGAUCCAGAUGUUUUCGGAUGGAUUUGAGUAAGAGCAUAGCUGUUGGGACCCGAAAGAUGGUGAACUAUGCCUGAAUAGGGUGAAGCCAGAGGAAACUCUGGUGGAGGCUCGCAGCGGUUCUGACGUGCAAAUCGAUCGUCAAAUUUGGGUAUAGGGGCGAAAGACUAAUCGAACCAUCUAGUAGCUGGUUC
RNAcentral lists this ribosomal RNA (893 nucleotides) under Buellia mamillana. RNAcentral's name for it is "LSU rRNA". It matches the Rfam family "Eukaryotic large subunit ribosomal RNA", at positions 43 to 957 of the family's 3401-position model. Lineage: Eukaryota; Fungi; Ascomycota; Lecanoromycetes; Caliciales; Caliciaceae. The record is from RNAcentral.